RNAcentral lists this ribosomal RNA (514 nucleotides) under uncultured bacterium. Its description in RNAcentral is "partial 16S ribosomal RNA". It matches the Rfam family "Bacterial small subunit ribosomal RNA", at positions 28 to 523 of the family's 1533-position model. The record is from RNAcentral.
GAUGAACGCUGGCGGCGUGCCUAAUACAUGCAAGUCGAGCGAACAGAUGAGAAGCUUGCUUCUCUGAUGUUAGCGGCGGACGGGUGAGUAACACGUGGGUAACCUACCUAUAAGACUGGGAUAACUCCGGGAAACCGGGGCUAAUACCGGAUAAUAUUUUGAACCGCAUGGUUCAAUAGUGAAAGACGGUUUCGGCUGUCACUUAUAGAUGGACCCGGGCCGUAUUAGCUAGUUGGUAAGGUAAUGGCUUACGAAGGCGACGAUACGUAGCCGACCUGAGAGGGUGAUCGGCCACACUGGAACUGAGACACGGUCCAGACUCCUACGGGAGGCAGCAGUAGGGAAUCUUCCGCAAUGGGCGAAAGCCUGACGGAGCAACGCCGCGUGAGUGAUGAAGGUCUUCGGAUCGUAAAACUCUGUUGUUAGGGAAGAACAAAUUUGUUAGUAACUGAACAAGUCUUGACGGUACCUAACCAGAAAGCCACGGCUAACUACGUGCCAGCCGCCGCAGUAA